This 179-nucleotide ribosomal RNA is filed under the name uncultured bacterium. Its description in RNAcentral is "partial 16S ribosomal RNA". It matches the Rfam family "Bacterial small subunit ribosomal RNA", at positions 1322 to 1500 of the family's 1533-position model. The record is from RNAcentral.
GAAGUCGGAAUCGCUAGUAAUCGCGGAUCAGCAUGCCGCGGUGAAUACGUUCCCGGGCCUUGUACACACCGCCCGUCACACCAUGAGAGUCGGGAACACCCGAAGUCCGUAGCCUAACAGCAAUGAGGGCGCGGCCGAAGGUGGGUUCGAUAAUUGGGGUGAAGUCGUAACAAGGUACC